RNAcentral lists this transfer RNA (70 nucleotides) under Dipodomys ordii (Ord's kangaroo rat). It matches the Rfam family "tRNA". Rfam says of the family: Transfer RNA (tRNA) molecules are approximately 80 nucleotides in length. Lineage: Eukaryota; Metazoa; Chordata; Mammalia; Rodentia; Heteromyidae. The record is from Rfam by way of RNAcentral.
GGGAAUGUGGCUUAGUGGAAGAGUGCUUGCUUUGCAUGCAUGAAGCCCUGGGUUUGAUUCCUCAGCACCA